This is a long non-coding RNA of Chinchilla lanigera (long-tailed chinchilla), 2396 nucleotides long. RefSeq lists it as uncharacterized. The record is from RefSeq and is a predicted model, not a curated record. The transcript is spliced from 2 exons. Lineage: Eukaryota; Metazoa; Chordata; Mammalia; Rodentia; Chinchillidae.
ACAGUGAUCCUCCUGCCUCAGCCUCCUGAGUGCUGGGAUUCCAGGCGUGCGCCACCACGCCCAGCAGGAAUGACUUUCGAAUGGUGAAAUUCCUGGCGAUAAAAUCACGCUCGGCACUGGUUUUUAUUCGGAGCCGAAUCGUAUCGCACAAGGACUAUUCAUUCGAGCGGAGCGCGUCCUCAGGGAUCCAGUAGGGGCUUUCCUCGGGCUCUGCGGCUCGGCCAGCUGUUUUCCGCGGCAGACCCCGCAGCACCCGUUUGAAGCUGUAUGCUGCCCUCUAGUGGCUUUCAGGGAUACAUCGUCAGCUUUGGCUCCAGGCUGCAGGCGAGGAGGAGCCCGGGCUGGUUUCACCAGGGGAUGCUGGCACAGGCCUCGCCGGUUUUCGUGCAGCCCAUGCUUUCAUCACGGCUGACUGCAAAUCAGCGUCAGGCUCUGCACUGCCCAUCCACCCGGAAAAGUACAGCCAGCACCGAAGAGCCCAGGCACCAACCAGGCUGAGCCCUUACAGUGUCCCGCAAGGCCUUUUGUAACUGUCACCUCCCUUCUUACCCCGCUCACCCUGACCCCGAGAGGCAGGAACGGGCGGAGGAAGGAGCUCAGCAGGAUGCGGCUUCGGCCGGAGUUCGCUUAGCGAUCCGCACCGUGGAGGAAAAUAACCCGGGUACAGGUUAGGCAGUGCUGGCUUUAUGUUCUAUUUCUUUAACUGACAAAUAAAGUAUAAACAAACAAGCCUCCACAGCCACAGGUGCUGUACGGGUGGAGUCAACCUACCGCGCAUCAAACAUAUAUUAAAAACGCAGCUGUCAUGAAUACACACACAUUGUUUUCUAAUCGUCACCCCCCAAGCAACAGUGUCGCCCCUCCCUCCGCGGAAGCGAUGCUGUGUGAGGUGUUACGAGCCACGGAGGGACUGUCUACAGCCUGCAGGACGGUGUGCGCGGGUUCUGUGCAAAUAGAGCCGAGCGUGGUAGCGCACGCCUGGAACCCCAGCACUCGGGAGGCUGAGGCAGGAGGAUCCUUGCAAGUUCGAGGCCAGCCUGGGCUACAAAGCCUAAAAUGUUCCCUCGAAGUUUCGUGUGUGUGGAGGGUGAUGCACCCUGAGGGUGCCACACUCGCCGGUGGAUUCAUCAGUGCGCUGGUAGGAGGCGGGGCCCGGUUGGAGGGGGUCCCCGGGGGCGUGGCCUGGAAGGCUGGGUCCUUGUCCCGGGCCCCUCCAGUCUCUGGGCUUCCUGGCUGCCGGGGGCUGUGUCUCGGUCACAGUACCCCACGACCACGACUUAAGGGAGAAGUUUAUUUCGGUUCAUGCUUACAGGCGGUGGCCGGCUGACUGCCAGGCGGAAGGAGCACGGCAGGGGGCGCGGUGGGGGAAAUUUGCCCAGGUUCGGUGGUCAGACAGCAGAGAAAAGCUCAGGAGGGAGGUCCCGCCACGUCACACCCCCAGGGACCCCUUCGGAUCAGGCCUCACCUCCUAACGCCAAGUCAGCUGUAGUGUCCCCACAAUCCAGUGACCCCUCCCCCAGCCCCGUCUCUGAGGGCACCAGGCUCUGGGGGGACAUUUCAGAUCCAAAACAACAGCAGGUCUGGACCCACCGUGCCCCUUCUGCCAUCUGUUUCUGCCUCGGAGCCAGCCAGCCAUCGGCAGAAGCUAGAGGGAGCCUCUCCUCCGCCGAGCCGUGGGUCCCGGGUACUGCGCCUUAGUGACGGGAAACGAACUCGGACAGUCAGCGGCUCAGGCACCCGCGGAUCUCGGUACCUCCUGGGAGUCCUGGAAAUGCCCACCUGCCACGGGUGUGGGUGCUGCUUUGAACACUGGCGUACAGAUUCCUGGCUGCUUGGGGUGAGCACCCAAAAGGGAAAUGGCUGGGUUUCGUGGUAAUUCUAUUUUUAAUUUUUGGGGAACCCCUCGUUUCCACCUCUUGCAUUCCCACCAGCAGCUGUACCAUUUUGCGUUCCCGCCAGCAGCUCCCAAGGGUCCCAAUUUCUCCACAUCUGCUGCAAGCGCUUCGUUCCUUUCUCCAUUAUACCCAUCCUAAGGGGAGGGUGUGGGUCUCUCCGCGGGUUUGAUGCGCAUUUCCCCGACCAUCAGUGGCCUCGGGUGUCCGUCCUCUCUUGUGUGGGAGGCUUCUGAGCGAGGAUGGUGAUUCAGUCUGGACAGUGAAAGCGCUGGACCUGGCCUAGCACGAGGUGUCUGGUCUGCAGUUCACAGGGCUGCCCUUCUGCUGUCCUUUCUCUUUCUCCCACGAGGAUUUUAAAAAUGUAGACGGCGUUGAUUUUUGCAGAUUCUCUCUCAUCCUUCAGCGUGUUAUUGGAAGCUUUAGUUAAUCCUGGGUCUCCGCCCCUUCGAGUUCCUUGUCUGUGAUAAAGCUGAAAAGCAAUAAACGUGACUUAAAAACUUC